Molecule: long non-coding RNA, 506 nt
Filed under: Mytilus galloprovincialis (Mediterranean mussel)
Lineage: Eukaryota; Metazoa; Mollusca; Bivalvia; Mytilida; Mytilidae
Source: RNAcentral
CAGGAUAGCUAAGGCACAAACAAAUAAAUAUGGUCACAGUCAGAUGAACCCUGUCAGACUGACCAAAUAUAGUUGACCCAUUACAAAUACCAUCUGAGAAACCUGCCUAAUUAGAAACCAUAAUUGUUAAUCAUAUUUCCAUGAAAUGAGGUCAAGGUCAUAUAAACCCUUUCUAAUUGCCAGGUAGAUUUUUAAAUGAUUUUAUAUACCAAUAGUAAGUCAAAUUGCUCAUAACCCAAAAGUAAAGUGAUACAGUUUUAUGCUGUCAUUCGAUGAGAAUCCUUUUGUCUCUAAUUCUUUGCAGGAAAGAUGGAAGAAUUCUGUCAAGUUAAAAAUUGUCUGAUAGAACUUCUAGCAUAUAAUUCUUAAUAUCUGGGUACAAUUAGAUAAAACAAAUAUGGUAAUUUUUCUCUUUCUGUGUGACAUCCUUGAUUUUAUCAAGAUAAUCAUUAUUGUUAUAUAACCUUAUAUUGAAGAUAAUUCUGGAAAGACUAUAUUUAAAUUGA